RNAcentral lists this ribosomal RNA (253 nucleotides) under uncultured prokaryote. Its description in RNAcentral is "partial 16S ribosomal RNA". It matches the Rfam family "Bacterial small subunit ribosomal RNA", at positions 525 to 777 of the family's 1533-position model. The record is from RNAcentral.
ACGAAGGUCCCAAGCGUUGUUCGGAAUCACUGGGCGUAAAGGGAGCGUAGGCGGCGUGGUAAGUCAGAUGUGAAAUCCCGGGGCUCAACCCCGGAACUGCAUCCGAUACUGCCAUGCUUGAGGGUUGGAGAGGUAGCUGGAAUUCUCGGUGUAGCAGUGAAAUGCGUGGAUAUCGAGAGGAACACUCGUGGCGAAGGCGAGCUACUGGACAACAUCUGACGCUGAGGCUCGAAGGCCAGGGGAGCAAAAGGGA